UUUGUUUUUUUUAUAUCUUCGCUUGUAGUGUGUCGAACAUCCGAAGUUGUGAACGAAUGGGUCGGAAUACAAAAACUUGUUAACGCAAUCAAUAAUCACAAUAAAGCUUAUUUGAAAGACAGAGAUGGAACUAGUGAUUGGUUGGAAGAAGAAAACGACUCAUUAUCAGCUCCUUUUGACGACUUAACAGGUAACGAAGUAGGAAGUGAAACAGAUUCAACAGAUA
Papilio xuthus (Asian swallowtail) is the source of this 226-nucleotide long non-coding RNA. RefSeq lists it as uncharacterized. The record is from RefSeq and is a predicted model, not a curated record. Lineage: Eukaryota; Metazoa; Arthropoda; Insecta; Lepidoptera; Papilionidae. The transcript has 3 exons.